This 468-nucleotide ribosomal RNA is filed under the name uncultured bacterium. RNAcentral describes it as "partial 16S ribosomal RNA". It matches the Rfam family "Bacterial small subunit ribosomal RNA", at positions 28 to 507 of the family's 1533-position model. The record is from RNAcentral.
GACGAACGCUGGCGGCGUGCUUAACACAUGCAAGUCGAACGGAAAGGCCCUGCUUUUGUGGGGUGCUCGAGUGGCGAACGGGUGAGUAACACGUGAGUAACCUGCCCUUGACUUUGGGAUAACUUCAGGAAACUGGGGCUAAUACCGGAUAGGAGCUCCUGCUGCAUGGUGGGGGUUGGAAAGUUUCGGCGGUUGGGGAUGGACUCGCGGCUUAUCAGCUUGUUGGUGGGGUAGUGGCUUACCAAGGUUUUGACGGGUAGCCGGCCUGAGAGGGUGACCGGCCACAUUGGGACUGAGAUACGGCCCAGACUCCUACGGGAGGCAGCAGUGGGGAAUAUUGCAGAAUAGGCGGAAGCCUGAUGCAGCAACGCCGCGUGCGGGAUGACGGCCUUCGGGUUGUAAACCGCUUUCGCCUGUGACGAAGCGUGAGUGACGGUAAUGGGUAAAGAAGCACCGGCUAACUACGUG